Schizosaccharomyces pombe (fission yeast) is the source of this 917-nucleotide non-coding RNA. The record is from the annotation of a GenBank genome assembly. Lineage: Eukaryota; Fungi; Ascomycota; Schizosaccharomycetes; Schizosaccharomycetales; Schizosaccharomycetaceae.
ACCAUCAAAUAUUAGUCUAGUCUUUGCCAACAGAACCUCCACCAACCGUGCCUGCCAUUGUACCCUAAGUACCUGCUUAUCCACAUAGUCAUCAAUUUAUGUAAGCGAUACUACAUACAUACAUUUUUACUGUACAUUUCGUAAGCGGGACAUUGCUAAGUUGUAAAUGAGAACCCCUACAUCGUCCUACAAAGCAUGGAAUGUACAGGUUCAAAUUAUGCAAGCUUACGAUACCCCAUAAACUUUGUUACUGACAACUCGAACUCGAAUGUACUAUAUAAAUUACAAACGAUAAAAUACAAAUGUUAAAUAAACACGGAAUAUAUCAAUUCAUGAUUGCUGACUUAGCAUUGGCAAUUGAAAGCUCUAAAGAAAAGAAGGAAAGAAAUUCAGAAGACAGGAAUGGAGAAAGCAUGCUGCACAGCUUUGCUACUGACGGCCAAUUGUUGCAUUGAAAUAUCAUUGAUAUAGACAAAACGUAGUGCUUCUCUUAGAACCAAACUAAGGAAGAGAGAACAUAGCAUCCAUUCACAUACCUUGUUAAUCAUUGAAAAAAUAGUAGCAAACAAGCUUUCAACAACAACAAUGAAAUCAGCGGGGAAUACGAGAGGAAAAGGGGAUGGGAGACUUGCAAAGCAAUUGAAAAGAAAAGACAUUAGGGCAAUUAGAACUUCUUGCCGAACAUCAAAAGUUGAACUUGGUCAUAAAUGGAAAGGACACCAGCUCCAGCAACACCACGAAGAAUGUUGGCACCGGCACCCUUGAAGAAAGAACGAGCACCUUCCUUGGCGAGGAUUUGACGACCACAUUCAAAGGAGGAGCUAUACUUGACGGCUUCACCAGAUGUCAUCAUCAUACGACGACGGAUGGUAUCAAGAGGAUAAGAAGCAACACCAGAACCAGUGGUAACGGCCCAA